Arachis ipaensis is the source of this 715-nucleotide long non-coding RNA. RefSeq lists it as uncharacterized. NCBI's taxonomy places the organism in Eukaryota, Viridiplantae, Streptophyta, Magnoliopsida, Fabales, Fabaceae. The record is from RefSeq and is a predicted model, not a curated record.
UUUUUAUCAAACCAUAUAUAAUAAUUUGUUUUUGGUGACUAACCAUAUACAAUAAUUGAAGCCCAAAAAAAAAACCAUAUAUAAUAAUUAUAUACCUCUAUUUCGUUCUGUCCUUAUUUUUUAUAUAUAAAAGAGGAAAAAAUAUCAGGAAUAGGUCACUACUGAAGUCGCUAGGUGGUGGAUAGGAUAUAAAAAUGGGUGGUAAUAGGUGAUGGUAGGUGCAGAUUAGGGAUUGGCACAAGAAUAGUAAAUAGCUAGAGAGCUAAAAUUUCCAUGGCACAGCCAGGUUACCUUCUUUCUCACAUUUCACUCUGUUCACGGCGCAUUGCAUUUACUCAUCCGAGAAGAGGACCCAAAAGGUGGCAAGGGGUUGGGCCGGGCAUUACCAAACCCGAAAGGGACGCGAGCAACCAUUGUUGACACGUGGCGGCAGGAGGUUUCAUGGACCACAACGUAGUACUGGAAAGGCUUAGGAGUGCGGGUCAUAGGGGUAGUGAAACAGGGUCGUAUUGACUGCAAACAAUGGCACAUUGGCUAGGAAGAGUGCGAAGUUGAAUUUCACUAUGCUAUACUGAUAUUUCAGCUGCCUCUUUAGCUUUAGAGAGGUAGAAGGUGCUGGCGGCAGAGAGAGAAAGACAAAGACAGAGGUCACGCGCGACUGUUUCGUGGUCCCUAAGUCCCUUGCGUUAUAUCUAACGGCAAUUUCAGUUUGUGU